Molecule: transfer RNA, 76 nt
Filed under: Alphaproteobacteria bacterium
Lineage: Bacteria; Pseudomonadati; Pseudomonadota; Alphaproteobacteria
Also listed under: 5 other names
Description: tRNA-Asn
Rfam family: tRNA
About the family: Transfer RNA (tRNA) molecules are approximately 80 nucleotides in length.
Source: RNAcentral
UCCCUGAUAGCUCAGUUGGUAGAGCAGUAGACUGUUAAUCUAUUUGUCGCAGGUUCGAGUCCUGCUCGGGGAGCCA